UCCCUGGUGGCUCAGACGGUAAAGUGUCUGCCUGCAAUGCGGGAGACCCAGGUUCGAUCUCUGGGUUGGGAA
RNAcentral lists this transfer RNA (72 nucleotides) under Bos taurus (domestic cattle). It matches the Rfam family "tRNA". Rfam says of the family: Transfer RNA (tRNA) molecules are approximately 80 nucleotides in length. Their secondary structure includes four short double-helical elements and three loops (D, anti-codon, and T loops). The record is from Rfam by way of RNAcentral. RNAcentral also lists the same sequence under 3 other names. Lineage: Eukaryota; Metazoa; Chordata; Mammalia; Artiodactyla; Bovidae.